UCCCUGGUUAUAUUGUUUCUAACGAUACUC
This 30-nucleotide non-coding RNA is filed under the name Mus musculus (house mouse). The record is from RNAcentral. Lineage: Eukaryota; Metazoa; Chordata; Mammalia; Rodentia; Muridae.